Molecule: transfer RNA, 75 nt
Filed under: Acholeplasma sp.
Lineage: Bacteria; Bacillati; Mycoplasmatota; Mollicutes; Acholeplasmatales; Acholeplasmataceae
Also listed under: 2 other names
Description: tRNA-Cys
Rfam family: tRNA
About the family: Transfer RNA (tRNA) molecules are approximately 80 nucleotides in length. Their secondary structure includes four short double-helical elements and three loops (D, anti-codon, and T loops).
Source: RNAcentral
GGGCCUAUAGCCAAGUUGGUAAGGCAUGGGACUGCAACUCCCCGAUCAUCGGUUCGAGUCCGGUUAGGCCCUCCA